UUUUUUGAUGAUGACAAACAUCUCAUGUAUUUUGACAUUUAUACUCCCCCUUAAUACAUGGCAUAUAUAAUUAAACAUAUAAAUCAAAUUCAAAACAAAAACUCCCCCUGAAUAUUUGAUUUAUGAUAAUUUGUAAGCUCCCCCUUAAUAUUUCAAAACCAUGCAUAAAUACUUGAAAUACAAAAUACGUAUUAUAUGUCUUCAUAUUCAAAAUACAAGACGUCUCCCCCUUCAUCAUCAAAAUUACUAGAAAUUCAUGCUAAGAUCAAUAAUAUGUCAAUGGUUAAUCAAGAAACGCUCAACUAACCGGAUGGAUUUUUCUCUUUUAUGGGGACAAUCUUUGGCAUAGUGGCCUUUUCUCUUGCAGAUGAAACAUCUGCUUGAUUGCUUUCGUUCCUUUGAGAGCUCUUUUGGGGCUGAGUUAGGCUUCGGCCCAAACUGGUAUCAGAGCCCAGGUGUUCACCGGGGGAAUAUGAGUGUGUGAAAGAUAAGCACCUCAUCCCACAUCGGUUGGGAUCCUGGCUGUGUGCUAGCUUAUAAGUGCUGGGCAGUCCUCACCCUUUGAGAGCUCUUUUGGGGCUUCACCAGUUUCCCCAACCAACAAUGGAUGAACCUGGACCCUCUGAACCAGGACCCUCCACCCAACCUUCCAAACGACCAGCUCAACCAUCAUGCCAUCAAAAGAAUGCUCAAAAUGCAUAUUAUCCAAAAUCAUACUGUAUGCUCCCCCUAAAUAUAUGACCAAUUAAAAAAUUUAACCAAAAUGAUAUUAUCCAAAAACAUAUCAUAUUUAUCUCCCCUUUCAUAAAAAAAAAAAAAAUGCAAUCGAAACAAGAUCAUAAAAAAUAAUUCGAUAAACAUAUUACCAAUUUUGUGCGAGGAAAAAUUUCAGCAGAGUCUCCCCUUAAAAUGCACAAAUCCUCAAAUACACAACAUGGUUAAAAACACUUUCAUAUAAGCUUAAACAAUUAUAACAAACCAACAACUCCAUUAAUUCAUCAAGCAACACACAUAUAAUCAUCAAUCAUCAAAAGUACUAUAAAUUCAUGCUUAUACCAAAAAGAAUAUCUCAAUGAUUAAUCAAGAAACAUAUAAAAAUUAAGCAUGCAAUUAACUAAAGAGUCAUAUUCAUUCUAAGAAUUCAGAAAAUAUCAUAUAAAUUAUCCAAAUAUUAAACAACCAUCAUCCGAAAUCCACAAUUAAAACAAUUAUGCAUAUGAAAAUGUAGGUGCAUAAUAUAAUAAGGAACCAUGGUAAUUUAAAAUACCCAAAAUGAAAAAAUUCGGUUUUGUAAAAUAAUGAGUGAAAUGGAUUAUUUUAAACCGAUUAUAUUGAUCCAAGAGAUGAUUUAAGAUAAUGGAUGGUGUUGAUUGGAUCAAAAGUGGACUAAAAAGAGCUUAAAUAUGCAAUUUCGGGUGUAACAAAAAUUGAGUGAAAUGGAUUUGUUUGAGCCAAGAAAAUCAAUCCUAGAGAUAAAUGAAGCUAAUAUAUGAUGUAGAUUGGAUCAAAAAUGGGCUAAAGGAAGCUUGGAAAUGUAGAGAGAGAAACGGGUAGAGUUAGGUUUUUGAUUUUGGGUUUUAUGUGGAGAGUUGAUGAAAUGAAGUUUUGAGAACGAAAAUUGAAGGAGUAAUGGAUGAAUAAUGAUUUGGAUGAUUGAUUUUAACAAGAAAAUGAGUGAAAGAUGAAGAAAUUUGAGAGAGAAAUGGAGAAGUACUGUUCACGCGUGAGAGAGAUGGUAAUGAUAUGAUGAAGAACAAGUGAGAAAAUGAUGAUUAGAAGUGUUUAAUGAAGGUUAAAAACAUGGGUAUUAGUUUGAAUGAUUGAUUUGGGCAUAAAAAUGGGUGAGAAAUGAAGAAAAAUGGAGUGAAAAUGGAGAGGAUAUUCACGGUUUUGGUGAAAG
This 1900-nucleotide long non-coding RNA is filed under the name Citrus maxima (pomelo). Its description in RNAcentral is "long non-coding RNA (CMAX_LNC002472)". Lineage: Eukaryota; Viridiplantae; Streptophyta; Magnoliopsida; Sapindales; Rutaceae. The record is from RNAcentral.